CCUACGGGUGGCAGCCGUGGGGAAUAUUGGGCAAUGGAGGAAACUCUGACCCAGCAACGCCGCGUGAAUGAUGAAGGUCUUCGGAUUGUAAAGUUCUUUUCUAAGGGAAGAAGCAAGUGACGGUACCUUAGGAAUAAGCCUCGGCUAACUACGUGCCAGCAGCCGCGGUAAUACGUAGGAGGCAAGCGUUAUCCGGAAGGACUGGGCGUAAAGGGUGAGGAGGGGGUUUGACAAGUUGGUAGCGUAACUCCGGGGCUCAACCUCGGCACUACUACCAAAACUGUCGGACUUGAGUGCAGGAGGGGCAAAUGGAAGUCCUAGGGUAGCGGUGGAAGGCGUAGAUAGUAGGAGGAACACCAGUGGCGAAGGCGAUUUGCUGGACUGUAACUGACACUGAGGCACGAAAGCGUGGGGAGCAAACAGGAUUAGAGACCCUGGUAGUC
This 443-nucleotide ribosomal RNA is filed under the name uncultured bacterium. Its description in RNAcentral is "partial 16S ribosomal RNA". It matches the Rfam family "Bacterial small subunit ribosomal RNA", at positions 338 to 795 of the family's 1533-position model. The record is from RNAcentral.